This 216-nucleotide long non-coding RNA is filed under the name Salvia miltiorrhiza (redroot sage). Its description in RNAcentral is "long non-coding RNA (SMIL_LNC013045)". Lineage: Eukaryota; Viridiplantae; Streptophyta; Magnoliopsida; Lamiales; Lamiaceae. The record is from RNAcentral.
UAAAAUCCCAAUCUUCAAACCACACGCCAUUUUCAUAGUAGAGAAGAAACUACGCUAAGGAUGAAGGAAGAAGAGAGAGCUUAGCUUUAGGAGGAGAGGGCGUUUGCCCUGCUCUGAAUCGAAAGACGGCGUGACGACGGAGCUUCCGUUGGCGUCAGGAACUAUGGCGCAGGGGCAACUGACGCCGAUCAGAUCAUGGCCGAGAGAGAGAACGGC